GCCGGGCAUGGUGGCGCGUGCCUGUAGUCCCAGUUACUCGGGAGGCUGAGGCAGGAGAAUUGCUUGAACUUGGGAGGCGGAGGUUGCAGUGAGCCGAGAUCGCGCCACUGCACUCCACCCUGGGUGACAGAGUGAGACUCUGUUUCAA
RNAcentral lists this non-coding RNA (148 nucleotides) under Nomascus leucogenys (northern white-cheeked gibbon). Lineage: Eukaryota; Metazoa; Chordata; Mammalia; Primates; Hylobatidae. The record is from Rfam by way of RNAcentral.